AUUGCUCAGAUCAUAACACUGCCUCCCCCUGCCUGCCUUCUCCCCAUAUUGCAUCCUGCUGCCAUCUCUUCCCCAGGUAAAUGAUGCAGAUGCACCCAGCCAUCUAAUUGAUAUAAAAGAAAAUGUGAUUCUUCAGAGCAGGCAACCUUCUUCCACUACUCCAAGUUAUGACGAUGGCGUUCCCACCGAAGGCACUUUCGGCAGUGGAUCAUCAUGGGCACUCUGCUGCGUAUGGAAAUGUAUAGGC
Pelobates cultripes (western spadefoot toad) is the source of this 247-nucleotide non-coding RNA. The record is from the annotation of a GenBank genome assembly. Lineage: Eukaryota; Metazoa; Chordata; Amphibia; Anura; Pelobatidae.